This 252-nucleotide ribosomal RNA is filed under the name uncultured prokaryote. RNAcentral's name for it is "partial 16S ribosomal RNA". It matches the Rfam family "Bacterial small subunit ribosomal RNA", at positions 523 to 774 of the family's 1533-position model. The record is from RNAcentral.
AUACGAAGGGGGCUAGCGUUGUUCGGAUUUACUGGGCGUAAAGCGCACGUAGGCGGAUCGAUCAGUCAGGGGUGAAAUCCCAGGGCUCAACCCUGGAACUGCCUUUGAUACUGUCGAUCUGGAGUAUGGAAGAGGUGAGUGGAAUUCCGAGUGUAGAGGUGAAAUUCGUAGAUAUUCGGAGGAACACCAGUGGCGAAGGCGGCUCACUGGUCCAUUACUGACGCUGGGGUGCGAAAGCGUGGGGAGCAAACA